GUUACGCCCCAACGAGUUUCCUUUGGGUUUCAUCUCCAUAAGAGUGGCUGGGUUUUUUUACGUUGGCUCGCCACGCCUAUCACAACCCUCCUCCUUUACCCGGGCUUGGGACCGGCUAUGCUGAGACAACAUAGGCGGAGUUAUCAAGAGAAUAAAGCAUCGUGCAGAAAAUCAUAGUCCACGACAACCGACGGCGAAAGAAGCUCGGCGGUUAAGGCACAUGGACGUAGAUCGACAAUGCAAAAGAAGUCCAAAAAAUCCUAUAGAAAACAACAAGGGCAAGUAGGCCACAAAAGUUGCAUAGAAAGGAUCAGGACCGGAAAAAGGCUGACGGACUAAGGUAUGGUGGACUCGCAUGGCAUGAGAAAACACAAAAUAUCAAAGGAUUUGGUGGACGCAGCGGAAAAUAUAGAAAACUA
RNAcentral lists this long non-coding RNA (419 nucleotides) under Hordeum vulgare. RNAcentral describes it as "long non-coding RNA (HVUL_LNC001641)". The record is from RNAcentral. Lineage: Eukaryota; Viridiplantae; Streptophyta; Magnoliopsida; Poales; Poaceae.